Molecule: long non-coding RNA, 1123 nt
Organism: Pieris napi
Lineage: Eukaryota; Metazoa; Arthropoda; Insecta; Lepidoptera; Pieridae
Exons: 2
Source: RefSeq, a predicted model, not a curated record
AUAAAAUAGUCCACGUACAACGGAUACAGUUCUCACAUGAAACAAACAGAAAGUUUAUGCAAAUUGGGCUCCUUUGUAUUUGCUGGAUUAAAAUAUUGCGGGAAUUAGUUGUGUGUCAGAUAUCCACUUGAUUUUACACUAGAAUUUGUUGUACGGCUUAUCUGUGGUGGUUUGUUGCUGUAUAUAGUUGGAUAGUUUUUCUUUUAACAUUAUUAGUCACAUUUAAAUCUUGCGCGGACAAAAAGGUGUAUAUUUUGAAGAAACAAUGAUGAAUUUAAAUAUUAUUUGGUUUAUAUAUAAAAGAUUUUAUUAUAAAUAAACCGUAUAUCAUCCCAAAACUAAGAAUAAUAUUUAUUUGACAUUCAAACCCUAUCACGUAUCGGUUAUCUCUCAGACAACGUCAGAUCAUUGUUUAAUUAUUUCUCAUGCAUUUAAAAACUCAUACUUUCAAGAAUAAUUUUAUAAUUAAAUAUAUUACGCAUUCAAAAUAUGCUAGGAUACUUUUUGCAACCUCUUCAAUCAUAAUCAUUAUUAUUUACGUAAAUCAUAACGAAUUAUGCACCUAAACCUUACAGAAUCACGCUAUGUUAUUGUAAAAACGUUUCUGUUUACAAUUUAUCGCAUACAUACCGGUGAAUUCAAUUUAUAACAAGGUAUAAGUUUAUCAAUAUCAAAAUAAACCAUUAAGCUAAUACCAGAAACAAAAGUUCAAGGUUUCGUUUCUUAAAACAGAUACAAGUAGUCUGAUACUUUAUCGUCAGUUAUACAUUUGAGCAAGAUGAAUUACGUUGUGUUUGUUUUACUCGUGAUAUUUAGUGCAAAUGUGCAAUCUAAAACAUAUACAAAUGACCAAACAAUUGGUUUUAAUUUCGAAACAUCACAAGAAGAGGAAACUGUUCGUCUAAGUCGUUCAAAAAGAGAUGAUGACUAUUCUGAUGAGGGAGGCUUUGUGGCAGCGCCUGGACAUAGUGGUGAUGACGAUUUUAUAGCGAAUAUACGGGAUUGUGCCGAUGGGAGUACUCGAGCUCCAUGGGGAAAGUGUAUUUCGUGUACAGAAUAUAAAAGAAAAUUCAGAAGAAUUGGUAUGGGCUGCUGAAAGAUAAAUAUAAGUUAAGCAUUUUCA